RNAcentral lists this ribosomal RNA (422 nucleotides) under Facetotecta sp. RNAcentral describes it as "partial large subunit ribosomal RNA". It matches the Rfam family "Archaeal large subunit ribosomal RNA", at positions 2025 to 2677 of the family's 2987-position model. Lineage: Eukaryota; Metazoa; Arthropoda; Thecostraca. The record is from RNAcentral.
UUGCAAGGGUAGCAUAAUAAUUAGUUUACUAAUUGUAAAAUCGUAUGAAAGAAUAAAUAAAGAUCUUAUUGUCUCAAAUUUACCAGUUGAACUUUAAUUUUUUAUUAAAAAGUUAAGAUUUAAUCAGAGGACGAGAAGACCCUAUAAAUCUUAACUUUUUAAUAAAAAAUUAAAGUUUGGUUGGGGCGACCGGUGAAAAGAUAAACUUCACCAAAACAAAAAUUUUAAUAAAAACAUCAUGCAAAGCAAGACCCUUAAAAAAGACUAGCAGAAAAAGUUACUUUAGGGAUAACAGCAUAAUUUUUUUUAAGAGACCUUAUCAACAAAAAAGUUUGUGACCUCGAUGUUGGAUUAAAUAAAUAUAAAGUGCAGCAAUUUUAAUAUUUUUAGUCUGUUCGACUUUAAUAAUUUACACGAUUUGA